This 794-nucleotide ribosomal RNA is filed under the name uncultured bacterium. RNAcentral's name for it is "bacterial SSU rRNA". It matches the Rfam family "Bacterial small subunit ribosomal RNA", at positions 8 to 794 of the family's 1533-position model. The record is from RNAcentral.
AGAGUUUGAUCCUGGCUCAGAACGAACGUUAGCGGCGCGCUUAACACAUGCAAGUCGGAUGUGCCCGCAAGGGUGCAUGGCAGACGGGUGAGUAACGCGUGGGGAAUCUACCUCUUUGUGGGGAAUAACGCUCCGAAAGGAGUGGUAAUACCGCAUGAGACCAAUGGCUGGAAUGCUGUUGGUGAAACCUGGGGACCGCAAGGCCUGGGGCAAGGAGAGGAUCCUGCGUCUGAUUAGCUAGUUGGCGGGGUAACGGCCCACCAAGGCGACGAUCAGUAGCCGGCCUGAGAGGGUGAUCGGCCACACUGGAACUGAGACACGGUCCAGACUCCUACGGGAGGCAGCAGUGGGGAAUUUUGCGCAAUGGGCGAAAGCCUGACGCAGCAACGCCGCGUGGGUGAUGAAGGUCUUCGGAUCGUAAAACCCUGUCGUCGGGGACGAAGGUGGCUUGGUUAACAGCUGAGUUGCUUGACGGUACCCGGAGAGGAAGCCCCGGCUAACUCUGUGCCAGCAGCCGCGGUAAUACAGAGGGGGCAAGCGUUAUUCGGAAUUAUUGGGCGUAAAGGGCGCGUAGGCGGUUUUUUAAGUCAGAUGUGUAAUCCCCGAGCUCAACUUGGGAACUGCAUCUGAGACUGGAAGGCUAGAGUACUGGAGAGGGUGGUAGAAUUCCACGUGUAGCGGUGAAAUGCGUAGAGAUGUGGAGGAAUACCAGUGGCGAAGGCGGCCACCUGGACAGUAACUGACGCUGAGGCGCGAAAGUGUGGGUAGCAAACAGGAUUAGAUACCCCGGUAGU